AUUGAACGCUGGCGGCAGGCCUAACACAUGCAAGUCGAGCGGAUGAAGGGAGCUUGCUCCUGGAUUCAGCGGCGGACGGGUGAGUAAUGCCUAGGAAUCUGCCUGGUAGUGGGGGAUAACGUCCGGAAACGGGCGCUAAUACCGCAUACGUCCUGAGGGAGAAAGUGGGGGAUCUUCGGACCUCACGCUAUCAGAUGAGCCUAGGUCGGAUUAGCUAGUUGGUGGGGUAAAGGCCUACCAAGGCGACGAUCCGUAACUGGUCUGAGAGGAUGAUCAGUCACACUGGAACUGAGUCACGGUCCAGACUCCUACGGGAGGCAGCAGUGGGGAAUAUUGGACAAUGGGCGAAAGCCUGGUCCAGCCAUGCCGCGUGUGUGAAGAAGGUCUUCGGAUUGUAAAGCACUUUAAGUUGGGAGGAAGGGCAGUAAGUUAAUACCUUGCUGUUUUGACGUUACCAACAGAAUAAGCACCGGCUAACUUCGUG
This 484-nucleotide ribosomal RNA is filed under the name uncultured bacterium. Its description in RNAcentral is "partial 16S ribosomal RNA". It matches the Rfam family "Bacterial small subunit ribosomal RNA", at positions 30 to 507 of the family's 1533-position model. The record is from RNAcentral.